AUUGAACGCUGGCGGCAGGCCUAACACAUGCAAGUCGAGCGGAUGAAGGGAGCUUGCUCCUGGAUUCAGCGGCGGACGGGUGAGUAAUGCCUAGGAAUCUGCCUGGUAGUGGGGGAUAACGUCCGGAAACGGGCGCUAAUACCGCAUACGUCCUGAGGGAGAAAGUGGGGGAUCUUCGGACCUCACGCUAUCAGAUGAGCCUAGGUCGGAUUAGCUAGUUGGUGGGGUAAAGGCCUACCAAGGCGACGAUCCGUAACUGGUCUGAGAGGAUGAUCAGUCACACUGGAACUGAGAAACGGUCAAGACUCCUACGGGAGGCAGCAGUGGGGAAUAUUGGACAAUGGGCGAAAGCCUGAUCAAGCCAUGCCGCGUGUGUGAAGAAGGUCUUCGGAUUGUAAAGCACGUUAAGUUGGGAGGAAGGGCAGUAAGUUAAUACCUUGCUGUUUUGACGUUACCAACAGAAUAAGCACCGGCUAACUUCGUG
This 484-nucleotide ribosomal RNA is filed under the name uncultured bacterium. Its description in RNAcentral is "partial 16S ribosomal RNA". It matches the Rfam family "Bacterial small subunit ribosomal RNA", at positions 30 to 507 of the family's 1533-position model. The record is from RNAcentral.